This is a long non-coding RNA of Arabidopsis thaliana (thale cress), 238 nucleotides long. RefSeq annotates it as other RNA. The record is from RefSeq. The transcript has a single exon. NCBI's taxonomy places the organism in Eukaryota, Viridiplantae, Streptophyta, Magnoliopsida, Brassicales, Brassicaceae.
CAGGGUUAAAUAUGUCAAAGCACCUGCGGAAAAUAGACAAUGAACCACUGUUCCCAUGUGUGCUGAUGUAUAGAAGAUAUAAAGACAACCAAUUUCUUCGCUGUCACUUCAACAAGAACAAGAUUCUAGAAAACCAGCUUUGAUAUAUAGAUUAAUUAAAUAGAAAUGACCCUAUAGCUGAUGGUUGAAGAAAGAAAUUGUUGCAAAAGAGCAUACCCCGCAAAUGCCAACAUAUCCA